This 516-nucleotide ribosomal RNA is filed under the name Salmonella enterica. RNAcentral's name for it is "partial 23S ribosomal RNA". It matches the Rfam family "Bacterial large subunit ribosomal RNA", at positions 676 to 1190 of the family's 2925-position model. Lineage: Bacteria; Pseudomonadati; Pseudomonadota; Gammaproteobacteria; Enterobacterales; Enterobacteriaceae. The record is from RNAcentral.
ACCGAGUCUUAAUUGGGCGUUAAGUUGCAGGGUAUAGACCCGAAACCCGGUGAUCUAGCCAUGGGCAGGUUGAAGGUUGGGUAACACUAACUGGAGGACCGAACCGACUAAUGUUGAAAAAUUAGCGGAUGACCUGUGGCUGGGGGUGAAAGGCCAAUCAAACCGGGAGAUAGCUGGUUCUCCCCGAAAGCUAUUUAGGUAGCGCCUCGUGAAUUCAUCUCCGGGGGUAGAGCACUGUUUCGGCCAGGGGGCCAUCCCGGCUUACCAAUCCGAUGCAAACUGCGAAUACCGGAGAAUGUUAUCACGGGAGACACACGGCGGGUGCUAACGUCCGUCGUGAAGAGGGAAACAACCCAGACCGCCAGCUAAGGUCCCAAAGUCAUGGUUAAGUGGGAAACGAUGUGGGAAGGCCCAGACAGCCAGGAUGUUGGCUUAGAAGCAGCCAUCAUUUAAAGAAAGCGUAAUAGCUCACUGGUCGAGUCGGCCUGCGCGGAAGAUGUAACGGGGCUAAACCAU